GAAUGAUUAACACUGAUUUUUUUCUCUGUUAAUCUUUAGCUUAGCAUCACUCGUGACGAGUGUAACAAAACUAAGCUGUGUUUGUCGAGUGCGUCUAACUGCGAUCCAGCAGGAAAUGGCAACUGCUUUUUCAGCUCAGUCCGGCUGGCAAACCAAGCAUUCUUCUUUGAACUCAGUGGCACAACGCCUGGAUACGUCGCACUGGCACUCACUAAAAAUAAAGUUACCACCGUGUUCGCCUGCGGCAGUAAUAAUUACCUUUUCUUUUUCCAAACGGCUACUCAAAAUGGCACCACUUUGACGCCUGUAUCUGUGAACACUGUAUACAAUGUUGUAGGUGUAGUAUCACAAAGCCAGACUCUCAUUCAGUGUGUCUUCAACACCAGCACCAGUUUCAACAUCAUCUCCAGAUCUGCUGACACCAGCUAUCAAGUCACCAUCCUGAAUGGAACCAC
Long non-coding RNA from Clarias gariepinus (North African catfish), 455 nucleotides. RefSeq lists it as uncharacterized. The record is from RefSeq and is a predicted model, not a curated record. The transcript has 3 exons. Lineage: Eukaryota; Metazoa; Chordata; Actinopteri; Siluriformes; Clariidae.